UACGUGCGGCAGCGGGGUGGUCACGAACCGGGUCAGGGUCGGAAGGCAGCAGCCCUAAGAGAUACGCCCCGUGUGUCACACGAUUUG
Molecule: signal recognition particle RNA, 87 nt
Filed under: Armatimonadota bacterium
Lineage: Bacteria; Bacillati; Armatimonadota
Description: Armatimonadetes bacterium signal recognition particle sRNA small type
Rfam family: Bacterial small signal recognition particle RNA
About the family: The signal recognition particle (SRP) is a universally conserved ribonucleoprotein involved in the co-translational targeting of proteins to membranes. Archaeal SRP consists of a 7S RNA and homologues of the eukaryotic SRP19 and SRP54 proteins.
Source: RNAcentral